This is a non-coding RNA of Lasiosphaeria hispida, 101 nucleotides long. Lineage: Eukaryota; Fungi; Ascomycota; Sordariomycetes; Sordariales; Lasiosphaeriaceae. The record is from the annotation of a GenBank genome assembly.
GUCACUUUGGCGGAGUGGUUAACGCGCUGCCCUGCUAUCCGGACUACGGUAGUAGUCAGGCAGUUCUUUCGAGAGCACAGGUUCGAAUCCUGUAGGUGACG